RNAcentral lists this ribosomal RNA (373 nucleotides) under uncultured organism. RNAcentral describes it as "partial 16S ribosomal RNA". It matches the Rfam family "Bacterial small subunit ribosomal RNA", at positions 527 to 896 of the family's 1533-position model. The record is from RNAcentral.
GUAGGUGGCAAGCGUUGUCCGGAAUUAUUGGGCGUAAAGCGCGCGCAGGCGGUCCUUUAAGUCUGAUGUGAAAGCCCACGGCUCAACCGUGGAGGGUCAUUGGAAACUGGGGGACUUGAGUACAGAAGAGGAAAGCGGAAUUCCAAGUGUAGCGGUGAAAUGCGUAGAGAUUUGGAGGAACACCAGUGGCGAAGGCGGCUUUCUGGUCUGUAACUGACGCUGAGGCGCGAAAGCGUGGGGAGCAAACAGGGAUUAGAUACCCUGGUAGUCACGCCGUAAACGAUGAGUGCUAAGUGUUAGGGGGUUUCCCGCCCCCUUAGUGCUGCAGCUAACGCAUUAAGCACUCCGCCUGGGGAGUACGGCCGCAAGGCUG